Molecule: ribosomal RNA, 263 nt
Filed under: uncultured bacterium
Lineage: Bacteria
Description: partial 16S ribosomal RNA
Rfam family: Bacterial small subunit ribosomal RNA
Source: RNAcentral
GUCCACGCCGUAAACGUUGGGCACUAGGUGUGGGGCUCUAUCGACGGGUUCCGUGCCGAAGCUAACGCAUUAAGUGCCCCGCCUGGGGAGUACGGCCGGCAAGGCUAAAACUCAAAGGAAUUGACGGGGGCCCGCACAAGCGGCGGAGCAUGUGGCUUAAUUCGAUGCAACGCGAAGAACCUUACCAAGGCUUGACAUGCUGGGUAAUCCGUGGAAACACGGUGAUCCUUCGGGAUCCAGCGCAGGUGGUGCAUGGCUGUCGU